UACGGAGGAUCCGAGCGUUAUCCGGAUUUAUUGGGUUUAAAGGGUGCGCAGGCGGGAGAUUAAGUCGGCGGUGAAAUUUUGCAGCUCAACUGUAAAAGUGCCUUCGAAACUGGUUUCCUUGAGUGUAGAUAAAGUAGGCGGAAUUUGUGGUGUAGCGGUGAAAUGCACAGAUAUCACGAGGAACUCCGAUUGCGCAGGCAGCUUACUAAACUACUACUGACGCUCAGGCACGAAGGCGUGGGGAUCAAACAGGAUUAGAUACCCCCGUAGUCCCU
RNAcentral lists this ribosomal RNA (275 nucleotides) under uncultured prokaryote. RNAcentral describes it as "partial 16S ribosomal RNA". It matches the Rfam family "Bacterial small subunit ribosomal RNA", at positions 524 to 798 of the family's 1533-position model. The record is from RNAcentral.